Molecule: long non-coding RNA, 269 nt
Organism: Acipenser ruthenus (sterlet)
Lineage: Eukaryota; Metazoa; Chordata; Actinopteri; Acipenseriformes; Acipenseridae
Exons: 3
Source: RefSeq, a predicted model, not a curated record
CGUGUGUUGUUUGUUUGGAUUCAGCCGUGACUGGACGUGUGUUCCCCCUGUUGUUACUACAACUACUUGGAACGGUUACUGAACAGGACAGAUGUGGAAUGUUGUGCCUUAUAUAGCCGCGUCUGCCUGGAGGAUUCCCGGGCGCUACUGCUGUCAAGGGCGCCCGGGACCAUUUGAUCUGUAGCAUUGUAUUACUCUUUUUGUGUGUGUGUUUUCUUGCUAGUAUUUACGACCUCUCUUUCUAGUGGACGUAAGUGGUACUACCAGUG